CCUACGGGAGGCAGCAGUGGGGAAUAUUGCACAAUGGGGGAAACCCUGAUGCAGCAACGCCGCGUGAAGGAAGACGGUUUUCGGAUUGUAAACUUCUAUCAAUAGGGAAGAAAGAAAUGACGGUACCUGACUAAGAAGCCCCGGCUAACUACGUGCCAGCAGCCGCGGUAAUACGUAGGGGGCAAGCGUUAUCCGGAUUUACUGGGUGUAAAGGGAGCGUAGGCGGUUUAGCAAGUCAGAAGUGAAAGCCCGGGGCUCAACUCCGGGACUGCUUUUGAAACUGUUGAACUAGAUUGCAGGAGAGGUAAGUGGAAUUCCUAGUGUAGCGGUGAAAUGCGUAGAUAUUAGGAGGAACACCAGUGGCGAAGGCGGCUUACUGGACUGUAAAUGACGCUGAGGCUCGAAAGCGUGGGGAGCAAACAGGAUUAGAUACCCUAGUAGUC
This 443-nucleotide ribosomal RNA is filed under the name uncultured bacterium. RNAcentral's name for it is "partial 16S ribosomal RNA". It matches the Rfam family "Bacterial small subunit ribosomal RNA", at positions 338 to 795 of the family's 1533-position model. The record is from RNAcentral.